CCUACGGGGGGCAGCAGUGAGGAAUAUUGGUCAAUGGACGAGAGUCUGAACCAGCCAAGUAGCGUGAAGGAUGACUGCCCUAUGGGUUGUAAACUUCUUUUAUAUGGGAAUAAAAUGUUCCACGUGUGGGAUUUUGUAUGUACCAUAUGAAUAAGCAUCGGCUAACUCCGUGCCAGCAGCCGCGGUAAUACGGAGGAUCCGAGCGUUAUCCGGAUUUAUUGGGUUGAAAGGGAGCGGAGGUGGAUUGUUAAGUCAGUUGUGAAAGUUUGCGGGUCAACCGUAAAAUUGCAGUUGAAACUGGCAGUCUUGAGUACAGUAGAGGUGGGCGGAAUUCGUGGUGUAGCGGUGAAAUGCUUAGAUAUCACGAAGAACUCCGAUUGCGAAGGCAGUUCACUGGACUGCAACUGACACUGAGGCUCGAAAGUUUGGGUAUCAAACAGGAUUAGAUACCCCAGUAGUC
This 460-nucleotide ribosomal RNA is filed under the name uncultured bacterium. RNAcentral's name for it is "partial 16S ribosomal RNA". It matches the Rfam family "Bacterial small subunit ribosomal RNA", at positions 338 to 795 of the family's 1533-position model. The record is from RNAcentral.